ACGCUGGCGGCACGCCUAACACAUGCAAGUCGAACGAAGUAGCAAUACUUAGUGGCAGACGGGUGAGUAACAUGUAGGUAUCUACCCUUUGGCCUGGAAUAACACGAGGAAACUUGUGCUAAUACCGGAUAAGUCUUUACGGAGAAAGCUUUAUGCACCAUUGGAUGAGCCUGCACUUGAUUAGUUUGUUGGUGGGGUAAUGGCCUACCAAGACUGUGAUCAAUAGCUGAUUUGAGAGGAUGAUCAGCCACAUUGGGACUGAGACACGGCCCAAACUCCUACGGGAGGCAGCAGUGGGGAAUCUUGCACAAUGGAGGAAACUCUGAUGCAGCGAUGCCGCGUGAGUGAAGAAGGCCCUUGGGUUGUAAAGCUCUUUCGUCGGGGAAGAAAAUGACUGUACCCGAAUAAGAAGGUCCGGCUAACUUCGUGCCAGCAGCCGCGGUAAUACGAAGGGACCUAGCGUAGUUCGGAAUUACUGGGCUUAAAGAGUUCGUAGGUGGUUGAAAAAGUUAGUGGUGAAAUCCCAGAGCUUAACUCUGGAACUGCCAUUAAAACUUUUCAGCUAGAGUAUGAUAGAGGAAAGCAGAAUUUCUAGUGUAGAGGUGAAAUUCGUAGAUAUUAGAAAGAAUACCAAUUGCGAAGGCAGCUUUCUGGAUCAUUACUGACACUGAGGAACGAAAGCAUGGGUAGCGAAGAGGAUUAGAUACCCUCGUAGUCCAUGCCGUAAACGAUGUGUGUUAGACGUUGGAAAUUUAUUUUCAGUGUCGCAGCGAAAGCGAUAAACACACCGCCUGGGGAGUACGACCGCAAGGUUAAAACUCAAAUGAAUUGACGGGGACCCGCACAAGUAGUGGAGCAUGUGGUUUAAUUCGAAGAUACGCGCAGAACCUUACCAACACUUGACAUGUUCGUCGCGACUCUAAGAGAUUAGAGUUUUCGGUUCGGCCGGACGAAACACAGGUGCUGCAUGGCUGUCGUCAGCUCGUGUCGUGAGAUGUUGGGUUAAGUCCCGCAACGAGCGCAACCCUCACUUUUAGUUGCCAUCAUUAAGUUGGGCACUCUGAAAGAACUGCCUGUGAUAAGCUGGAGGAAGGUGGGGAUGACGUCAAGUCCUCAUGGCCCUUACGUGUUGGGCUACACACGUGCUACAAUGGUAUCUACAACAGGAAGCAAGACUGCGAGGUCAAGCAAAUCCUUAAAAGAUACCUCAGUUCGGAUUGCACUCUGCAACUCGAGUGCAUGAAGCUGGAAUUACUAGUAAUCGUCGGUCAGCAUACGGCGGUGAAUACGUUCCCGGGCCUUGUACACACCGCCCGUCACACCAUGGGAGUUGGCUUU
RNAcentral lists this ribosomal RNA (1338 nucleotides) under uncultured Pelagibacterales bacterium. RNAcentral describes it as "uncultured SAR11 cluster alpha proteobacterium 16S ribosomal RNA". It matches the Rfam family "Bacterial small subunit ribosomal RNA". Lineage: Bacteria; Pseudomonadati; Pseudomonadota; Alphaproteobacteria; Candidatus Pelagibacterales. The record is from RNAcentral.